Long non-coding RNA from Sycon ciliatum, 559 nucleotides. RefSeq lists it as uncharacterized. Lineage: Eukaryota; Metazoa; Porifera; Calcarea; Leucosolenida; Sycettidae. The transcript is spliced from 4 exons. The record is from RefSeq and is a predicted model, not a curated record.
AUGUGCGUAUGUGUGCCGUGUGCAUCCGCGUGUUUGUGUAUCUGUGUGCGGGGUAAGCGAGGUGGGGAGCAUUGACCAUGCACAAAUAGAGAAGCAGCAGAUGGAUUCAUUGCAACUAGAGGCUGCGGUGCAUAGUUGGGAUAGUGAGGAAGUGCCAUCGAUAUCCUCGCGGCCAAGGACCUUCGACAUGUCUGGCAGCAUCACCGAAUGUGUGUCCCUAUUGAUUUCCAUGGAGUCCCCUUCUGCGUGCUCGGCCGGCAAGAGUGUCAGUUCGGGAAGGAAAGAUGCCAUGAAGCUAAACAGCCUACGGACACAAGCGACGCAACGCGGUCACCUGCGGACCAGGCUUCCUCGAAUCCCAGCCAUGAGAAGAUAUCGAGGCGGCUCUCUCUUCAAGGUUCAAAAAAAGAAAGGCUGCAUAGCAACAGCGACUACUCACCGAGUUUUGGAGUUUCCAUCAUUUUCUGUGCCAACGGAUGCGAAUGCCAGAAUGAAAGCAGAGGCACUUCAGAGAUUAACUGCUGCUAUUGAACAGUGCAAAAGCAGUAAGGAUUUUCGA